GACGAACGCUGGCGGCGUGCUUAACACAUGCAAGUCGAACGGAAAGGCCCUGCUUGCAGGGUACUCGAGUGGCGAACGGGUGAGUAACACGUGGGUGAUCUGCCCUGCACUUCGGGAUAAGCCAGGGAAACUGGGUCUAAUACCGGAUAGGAGCCAUUUUUAGUGUGAUGGUUGGAAAGUUUUUUCGGUGUAGGAUGAGCUCGCGGCCUAUCAGCUUGUUGGUGGGGUAAUGGCCUACCAAGGCGGCGACGGGUAGCCGGCCUGAGAGGGUGGACGGCCACAUUGGGACUGAGAUACGGCCCAGACUCCGACGGGAGGCAGCAGUGGGGAAUAUUGCACAAGGGGCGCAAGCCUGAUGCAGCGACGCCGCGUGGGGGAUGACGGCCUUCGGGUUGUAAACUCCUUUCGCUAGGGACGAAGCUUGUUGUGACGGUACCUAGAUAAGAAGCACCGGCUAACUACGUG
Molecule: ribosomal RNA, 465 nt
Filed under: uncultured bacterium
Lineage: Bacteria
Description: partial 16S ribosomal RNA
Rfam family: Bacterial small subunit ribosomal RNA
Source: RNAcentral